Molecule: ribosomal RNA, 465 nt
Filed under: uncultured bacterium
Lineage: Bacteria
Description: partial 16S ribosomal RNA
Rfam family: Bacterial small subunit ribosomal RNA
Source: RNAcentral
CCUACGGGUGGCAGCAGUGGGGAAUAUUGCGCAAUGGGCGAAAGCCUGACGCAGCGACGCCGCGUGAGGGAUGAAGGUCUUCGGAUCGUAAACCCCUGUCAGCAGGGAAGAACGGUCACUGUGCUAAUCAGCAGUGAAUUGACGGUACCUGCAAAGGAAGCACCGGCUAACUCCGUGCCAGCAGCCGCGGUAAUACGGAGGGUGCGAGCGUUAAUCGGAAUUACUGGGCGUAAAGCGGUCGUCGGCGGUAUGUCAAGUCAAGGGUGAAAUCCCCGCGCUCAACGUGGGAACUGCCUUUGAAACUGGCAAACUUGAGUGUGUGAGAGGAUAGUGGAAUUCCUGGUGUAGGAGUGAAAUCCGUAGAUAUCUGGAGGAACAUCAGUGGCGAAGGCGACUAUCUGGCACGUAACUGACGCUGAGGAGCGAAAGCGUGGGUAGCAAACAGGAUUAGAUACCCCAGUAGUC